GGAAGUGAGGUAAGGUGUAUUGCCCUCGGGCGCGCGCUGUUGCCCCGCGGCCUUCUGGGUGGGGCCGGCGAACUCCCCGUCACGGAGUCCCGGGACCCUCGGAAUCUGGUUCCGGCUACCUCCUGAAACUUCGAAUUCACCGCCCAUAUUCUUCCCCUACGUCGGGCUCCGACUUUCGGCACCAAAGGCUCUUAACUUCAUGACGAAACGUAUACCUGCUUAGCCCUCCAGCUCUAACCCCAGCGCUUUUCUACCCGUUCCUGACCCUGGCACCUGUCCUGUGGGCUAUGCAGGCCGGGAGGAGGUCUUCACCUUAGGAGGCAGUGCCCUUCUUUUAACCAAGAGGCGGUCUGAUGUGUGAUCAAACACGUGGACCCUUGUGUCAGACUGCCUAGGUUCAAAUCCCAGCUUCACCCCUUACCAGCUGUGCAAUGUCAGAUGGAGAAACUGAGACAUAAAGUGGCCAAAUGGCUUUCCCAAGGCCUUACCACUGCAUGGAUUGGGGCUGGGCCCCACAGCCUCUGUGUGGACAUCUUUCAGACCUGCUCCAAAACAUGGUGUUGUGGGUGAUUUUUGUUUUCUUCCUUUUGUUUACCUGUAUUUGUGUGAUCAGUCACUUUAACCAAAGAGCACGCAAGCAUCCAUUGUCACAUGAGAACCAUGUCUGUUAGUUGCACGGAUGUCAACAUGGGCGACUGCGACAGGAAGUGACUAGUUCAGCGUGGGUUUCUGAAUGUUUACUCUUGAAAUUAGGCAUAGACUUUCUCUAAAAUGUAACAUGUUUGCUUAAAAUGUACUCUAUAUCAUGAAAUUAAUGGAGUACUUUAAGGUGUUUAUAAAGAUAACAUUUUCAUUUUUUUAAAUUUUAUUUUGAAGUAAUUUCAAACUUAUAUGUACACUUUAUCCACGUUAACCAGAUAACAUUUUGCCAAAUUCAUUUUUACCAUUCUCUAUUUCUCUCUAAUGUUUUCUUCUGAAAUAGUUUUAAGUUGCAUUAUCAUGUCCCUUUAUUCCUUAAUACUUCCGUGUGAAUUUUUACAGAGUAAGGACAUUUUCUUACCUCACAGUGAUAUAAUACUAUUCACGUAUUCCAAUUUUGACAAUUAUCUCAAUGUCUUUUACAGCAUUUUUUUCAGCUUCCAAUAUCCAGUGCAGGAUUAUGCACGGCGUUAAUUGUCAUCUCUUUAGGCUCCUCAAGUCUGAAGUUCUUCCUUCCCUGCCUUGUUUUCUCUUUCCUUUUCUUUUUUUGGUCUUCCUUGACACUCAUUUUGAAGGGCACACACCAGCUAUUUGGUAAAAUGUCUUUCUAUAUGAUUUUGUUUCCCCACCGUAGGAGUUAUAGAGGUUAUGUAUUUGGGGCAAGAAUAUUAUAUGAGCAAUGCUGUGUCAUCUCAAUGCACCAUUCAGGAAGCAUACAAUGGUGAUGUUAAUGUUGAUCUCUUGGUGAAGAUAGUCACUGCCAGGUCUCGCUGCUGUGACAUUCUUGUUUUUCCUUUUGAAAUUGAUAAUCAGUUUGUGGGGAGAUACAAUGCCUUUCUGACCAUGUAUUUACUUGAUAAAAACGUUUAUGCAUUUUUGAAUGUUUAUUAAAAGGCUUAAAUAUUUAAGAAAUAUUUAAAAAACUGAAAAAAUCUGUAUGAUAACUCUAAAAACCUUUGGAAGAAAAUGAUAAUGAAACACAAGAAGAAAAAAUAAACAGACCAGACUAUGGAAAGAAAAACCCAUAAUGAUGAAGAAGAGAACAUCGAGGAGAGAGAAGAGUGGUAGUCAGAAAACUGAGAGGAAAUGGGAGAACAAAUAGGGGACAUCUGUGAUCCCUGUCAAGGACUUUGAUCCUGUCCUCAGACCUCUCAUUGUCUUGGUUCAGCUGUACCUCUCAUGGUUAUUAAAAGCUCAAAUAAAUAUUUGUGAAAUAAAUGAACAACUCAA
Long non-coding RNA from Hipposideros armiger (great roundleaf bat), 1929 nucleotides. RefSeq lists it as uncharacterized. Lineage: Eukaryota; Metazoa; Chordata; Mammalia; Chiroptera; Hipposideridae. The record is from RefSeq and is a predicted model, not a curated record. The transcript has 3 exons.